GAUGAACGCUGGCGGCGUGCCUAACACAUGCAAGUCGAACGGAGUCGCUUUGGAAAUCUCUUCGGAGAUGGAAUUCUCGACUUAGUGGCGGACGGGUGAGUAACGCGUGAGCAAUCUGCCUUUAAGAGGGGGAUAACAGUCGGAAACGGCUGCUAAUACCGCAUAAAGCAUUAAAUUCGCAUGUUUUUGAUGCCAAAGGAGCAAUCCGCUUUUAGAUGAGCUCGCGUCUGAUUAGCUAGUUGGCGGGGUAACGGCCCACCAAGGCGACGAUCAGUAGCCGGACUGAGAGGUUGAACGGCCACAUUGGGACUGAGACACGGCCCAGACUCCUACGGGAGGCGGCAGUGGGGAAUAUUGCGCAAUGGGGGAAACCCUGACGCAGCAACGCCGCGUGAUUGAAGAAGGCCUUCGGGUUGUAAAGAUCUUUAAUCAGAGACGAAACAAAUGACGGUACCUGAAGAAUAAGCACCGGCUAACUACGUG
This 483-nucleotide ribosomal RNA is filed under the name uncultured bacterium. Its description in RNAcentral is "partial 16S ribosomal RNA". It matches the Rfam family "Bacterial small subunit ribosomal RNA", at positions 28 to 507 of the family's 1533-position model. The record is from RNAcentral.